This 78-nucleotide small RNA is filed under the name Flavobacterium crassostreae. RNAcentral's name for it is "Flavo-1 RNA". It matches the Rfam family "Flavo-1 RNA". The record is from Rfam by way of RNAcentral. Lineage: Bacteria; Pseudomonadati; Bacteroidota; Flavobacteriia; Flavobacteriales; Flavobacteriaceae.
UUUUAGCCCCGAUAGCAGCGGCAUCCUUUAUCUUUUUUCUUUAAAAAGAUAAAGAUAUAGCGGAGAGCGGGAAAUGGC